AACAUCGCGCACCUGCGGGAACCUGCGGAAGGAUCAUUACAGAGUUGCAAAACUCCCCAAACCAUUGUGAACCUUACCUUCAAACGUUGCUUCGGCGGGCGGGCCACAGCGCCCCCCGGGCCCCCCCAGCGGGGGCGCCCGCCGGAGGAUACCCAAACUCUUGAUACUUUAUGGCCUCUCUGAGUCUUCUGUACUGAAUAAGUCAAAACUUUUAACAACGGAUCUCAGAUCGGAAGAGCA
Molecule: unclassified non-coding RNA, 240 nt
Filed under: soil metagenome
Description: partial contains 5.8S ribosomal RNA, internal transcribed spacer 2, and large subunit ribosomal RNA
Source: RNAcentral